UAGGUAAGGGAAGUCAGCAAUUCAGAUACAUAACUUCCGGAUAAGGAUUGAGCUGGGUGCCUGCCACAGUUGGAUGAGGUGCCCUGGUGGCCUUUCUCCUCUGGGAUGUGAUAUGGUGGUUGGUGACUCUGGACUUGUGCCAGGCCCUUCCUGAGGAUUGCCUGGCUGUGUUGAAUGCUAUUACCCUGUUCUGUCCCCUCUGUGCCUUUCUUCCUGCUCUGGUGGGGAGGAUGUGGUGCAGAAGGGCUGCCAGGGUGGGGUGUGUGGCCUCGGCUGGUGCUUAGCAGCUAACUUACAACUUGGGAAUCUAACUGUUUAAUUAAACAGCAUCAUGAAGGCCUGAGGUGGGUGUUGAUGCAAUGUGAAUUCUGCCCAGUGCUCUGAAUGUCAAGGUGAAGAAAUUCAAUGGAAGACUGGGUAAGCAGUGGGAGUAACUAUGUGACUCUCUUAAAGGAAUAGUCUAGUGUAAAAAUAAAAAUUGAAUAAAUAGAUAGGCUGUGCAAAAUAAAAAAUGUUUCUACUAUAGUUAGUUA
RNAcentral lists this non-coding RNA (533 nucleotides) under Xenopus laevis (African clawed frog). RNAcentral's name for it is "Eukaryotic large subunit ribosomal RNA". It matches the Rfam family "Eukaryotic large subunit ribosomal RNA", at positions 1901 to 2285 of the family's 3401-position model. The record is from Rfam by way of RNAcentral. Lineage: Eukaryota; Metazoa; Chordata; Amphibia; Anura; Pipidae.